AGAAUGAACGCUGGCGGCGCGCCUAAUACAUGCAAGUCGAGCGAGAAGACGUAGCAAUACGUUUGUAAAGCGGCGAACGGGUGAGGAAUACAUGGGUAACCUACCCUCGAGUGGGGAAUAACUAGCCGAAAGGUUAGCUAAUACCGCGUACGCUUCUUGGACUUCGGUUCAGGGAGGAAAGCGAUGCCGAGGGUAUCGCGCUCUUGGAUGGGCUCAUGUCCUAUCAGCUUGUUGGUGAGGUAACGGCUCACCAAGGCUUCGACGGGUAGCUGGUCUGAGAGGACGAUCAGCCACACUGGCACUGCGACACGGGCCAGACUCCUACGGGAGGCAGCAGUAAGGAAUAUUGCGCAGUGGGCGAAAGCCUGACGCAGCGACGCCGCGUGGGGGAUGAAGGUCUUCGGAUUGUAAACCCCUUUCGGGAGGAAGAUGGAAUGGGUAACCCAGUUCGGACGGUACCUCCAGAAGCAGCCACGGCUAACUUCGUGCCAGCAGCCGCGGUAAUC
RNAcentral lists this ribosomal RNA (506 nucleotides) under uncultured soil bacterium. RNAcentral's name for it is "bacterial SSU rRNA". It matches the Rfam family "Bacterial small subunit ribosomal RNA", at positions 26 to 525 of the family's 1533-position model. The record is from RNAcentral.